GACGUAGGGCGCGAGCGUUGUCCGGAUUUAUUGGGCGUAAAGAGCUCGUAGGCGGCUUGUCGCGUCGUCCGUGAAAACCUGCGGCUCAACUGCAGGCUGGCGGUCGAUACGGGCAGGCUAGAGUUCGGUAGGGGAGACUGGAAUUCCUGGUGUAGCGGUGAAAUGCGCAGAUAUCAGGAGGAACACCGGUGGCGAAGGCGGGUCUCUGGGCUGAUACUGACGCUGAGGAGCGAAAGCGUGGGGAGCGAACAGG
RNAcentral lists this ribosomal RNA (253 nucleotides) under uncultured bacterium. RNAcentral describes it as "partial 16S ribosomal RNA". It matches the Rfam family "Bacterial small subunit ribosomal RNA", at positions 524 to 776 of the family's 1533-position model. The record is from RNAcentral.